This 253-nucleotide ribosomal RNA is filed under the name uncultured bacterium. RNAcentral's name for it is "partial 16S ribosomal RNA". It matches the Rfam family "Bacterial small subunit ribosomal RNA", at positions 524 to 776 of the family's 1533-position model. The record is from RNAcentral.
UACGGAGGGUGCAAGCAUUAAUCGGAUUUACUGGGCGUAAAGGGUGCGUAGGCGGAUUGGCAAGUCAGGUGUGAAAUCCCGGUACUCAAUACCGGAACAGCACUUGAAACUACCUCUCUAGAGGUUAGGCGGAGAGAACGGAAUUCCAUGUGUAGCGGUGAAAUGCGUAGAUAUAUGGAAGAACACCUGUGGCGUAGGCGGUUCUCUAGCUUAAUACUGACGCUGAGGCACGAGAGCGUGGGGAGCAAACAGG